UGUCUGAUAUAAGCAGAGAAUAUUCUGAAGUUUCUUCAAAUUUGAAGCAUAGUUUUAAUGAUCAGAAAUGGGUUCAAGAAUCCAACUCUUUCUACUGUCAGUUUACCUUCGGUGUUUGAUCAUAGCAGCCUAUACUGUUGAUAAUGGUGUUGUUGUUCUAAAAUAUUAUUAUGAUGUCUGGAAAAACACACCCCCAAAUUGGGAGGGUUCAGAUCCUUGUGGAGGCAAUUGGCAAGGAAUUAAGUGCACUAAUCCGCGUGCGAUCUCCAUUUAAUUUAUUGGUCUUUUGAGUUUUUACAUGUUAAAGCUAAAACAAGGUCUGCAGACAUCAGAGUUUUAUCCGACCUUCAAACUCUGGCUGACAGGACCUCUUCCAACAUCCAUUGGGAAUUUGAAGAAACUAACCACCUUGUAAAGGAAAUAUAUUCUUCUCAAACCAUCAGAUAACAACAAAAUUCUGUCACAAUCCUUAUAAAAAUCAUGUUCUGUUUAUUUUACCUUUCAGAAUUCUAGUUGGUUGCAGUUUUUCUGGACAAAUUCCUGCAUCUAUUGGAUCUCUACAGCGGUUGGUCUACCUGAAAAAAUCGACUCUCAGGCUCAAUCCCAG
Molecule: long non-coding RNA, 607 nt
Organism: Pistacia vera
Lineage: Eukaryota; Viridiplantae; Streptophyta; Magnoliopsida; Sapindales; Anacardiaceae
Exons: 4
Source: RefSeq, a predicted model, not a curated record